This 579-nucleotide ribosomal RNA is filed under the name Meyerozyma guilliermondii. RNAcentral describes it as "eukaryotic LSU rRNA". It matches the Rfam family "Eukaryotic large subunit ribosomal RNA", at positions 72 to 664 of the family's 3401-position model. The record is from RNAcentral. Lineage: Eukaryota; Fungi; Ascomycota; Pichiomycetes; Serinales; Debaryomycetaceae.
GGAUCCUUGUGCGGCGAGUGAAGCGGCAAAAGCUCAAAUUUGAAAUCUGGCGCCUUCGGUGUCCGAGUUGUAAUUUGAAGAUUGUAACCUUGGGGUUGGCUCUUGUCUAUGUUUCUUGGAACAGGACGUCACAGAGGGUGAGAAUCCCGUGCGAUGAGAUGCCCAAUUCUAUGUAAGGUGCUUUCGAAGAGUCGAGUUGUUUGGGAAUGCAGCUCUAAGUGGGUGGUAAAUUCCAUCUAAAGCUAAAUAUUGGCGAGAGACCGAUAGCGAACAAGUACAGUGAUGGAAAGAUGAAAAGAACUUUGAAAAGAGAGUGAAAAAGUACGUGAAAUUGUUGAAAGGGAAGGGUUUGAGAUCAGACUCGAUAUUUUGUGAGCCUUGCCUUCGUGGCGGGGUGACCCGCAGCUUAUCGGGCCAGCAUCGGUUUGGGCGGUAGGAUAAUGGCGUAGGAAUGUGACUUUACUUCGGUGAAGUGUUAUAGCCUGCGUUGAUGCUGCCUGCCUAGACCGAGGACUGCGAUUUUAUCAAGGAUGCUGGCAUAAUGAUCCCAAACCGCCCGUCUGAACACCGGGGACAAAA